GAUGAACGCUGGCGGCGUGCUUAACACAUGCAAGUCGAACGGAAAGGCUCCUGCUUGCAGGGGUACUCGAGUGGCGAACGGGUGAGUAACACGUGGGUGAUCUGCCCUGCACUUCGGGAUAAGCCUGGGAAACUGGGUCUAAUACCGGAUAGGACGAUGGUUUGGAUGCCAUUGUGGAAAGUUUUUCGGUGUGGGAUGAGCUCGCGGCCUAUCAGCUUGUUGGUGGGGUAAUGGCCUACCAAGGCGUCGACGGGUAGCCGGCCUGAGAGGGUGUACGGCCACAUUGGGACUGAGAUACGGCCCAGACUCCUACGGGAGGCAGCAGUGGGGAAUAUUGCACAAUGGGCGCAAGCCUGAUGCAGCGACGCCGCGUGGGGAAUGACGGCCUUCGGGUUGUAAACUCCUUUCGCUAGGGACGAAGCGCAAGUGACGGUACCUGGAGAAGAAGCACCGGCUAACUACGUG
Molecule: ribosomal RNA, 465 nt
Filed under: uncultured bacterium
Lineage: Bacteria
Description: partial 16S ribosomal RNA
Rfam family: Bacterial small subunit ribosomal RNA
Source: RNAcentral